AGUGAGCACCCCUUCCAAUCGUUGUGAAUUCGAAUUAAAAUCAACAUCAGACCGUACGGUUUUUUGUUGAGGAACAGGAUUCAUGCAGGUGUCUACGGGGUUUCGUGAAAGUGCGUCGGCGUUGGCGUUAACCUUUCCAGAUGUUGGAUCCUUGACAUUGUGUAACCAUACCAAGGGUCUAUGGUCCGUGAGCAAUGUAAAUUGUCGGCCAUAAAGUGAUCUGGAGGCAUACGCGACUGGGAGAUCUUUUCCCACUGGUCCCUGACUAAGAAUGGCGCCAAUGGCAUAAUUAGAAGCAUCCGUAGUAACGAGGAAUGACUGCGAAAAAUUCGGGAACUGUAAUAGAGGUUCAGCACAGAUGAUAUCUCUUAAGGUUUCGAAGGAAGUUUGCACGUCAGCUGUCCAACAAAAAGGCUGAAGGGUUAAUCCAGCGCUUUGUAACCGAGCU
Long non-coding RNA from Osmia bicornis bicornis, 448 nucleotides. RefSeq lists it as uncharacterized. The record is from RefSeq and is a predicted model, not a curated record. The transcript is spliced from 4 exons. Lineage: Eukaryota; Metazoa; Arthropoda; Insecta; Hymenoptera; Megachilidae.